CACGUAGGGUGCGAGCGUUGUCCGGAAUUAUUGGGCGUAAAGAGCUCGUAGGCGGCGUGUCGCGUCGGCCGUGAAAACCUGCAGCUUAACUGUGGGCUUGCGGUCGAUACGGGCAUCACUGGAGUUCGGCAGGGGGAGACUGGAAUUCCUGGUGUAGCGGUGAAUGCGCAGAUAUCAGGAGGAACACCGGUGGCGAAGGCGGGUCUCUGGGCAGUAACUGACGCUGAGGAGCGAAAGCGUGGGGAACGAACAGG
This 254-nucleotide ribosomal RNA is filed under the name uncultured bacterium. Its description in RNAcentral is "partial 16S ribosomal RNA". It matches the Rfam family "Bacterial small subunit ribosomal RNA", at positions 524 to 776 of the family's 1533-position model. The record is from RNAcentral.